ACGAGCAGCCAUUACAGUCAACUCUCUUGUGGAAUCGUUUUUUUUAGGACAAUCCCUGCGUUUUAACACAUUUAUAUCCUAUUUUUGUACUGACUACAAUAAUGGAGCCUUUUUCUGACCAGAUUGUGAUGUUCAUGCUGGCUGCAAGCAUGGAGGAAGAAAGGGCUGGUGAAUAUCAGGAUUAAAGUCAGCAAAUGUCUGCAUUGGAGUUUUACGUCCUGUUGACGCAAUUUCCCAGCACCGUUUUCUAAGUUUCGUCCUGUUGACGACCUGUUACCCCCUGUUUUUUCCUGUUGUUGGGUUGCCGCAAAUAUUGGACCCGUUUAUCCCACUCUACCAUGGGCAACCUACUUGUGAUGUGGAUCUGAACCUCCGCCAUGUAGCAGACAACACCACUCAGGUCUUGCGGAGUAUCCUUCCCGAUUUGCUUGAAUCAUCCAGGAUGAAAAGGGACACGACAGUUCCCCUGCUGUACCAUGGGCGACCUAACACAAUACCACUGCAUCUCAUAUAUUACAUUUUAUUUACUAAUAAUUUAAAGAAAA
Long non-coding RNA from Pseudophryne corroboree (corroboree frog), 545 nucleotides. RefSeq lists it as uncharacterized. NCBI's taxonomy places the organism in Eukaryota, Metazoa, Chordata, Amphibia, Anura, Myobatrachidae. The transcript has 3 exons. The record is from RefSeq and is a predicted model, not a curated record.